UACAGAGGCCACAAGCGUUAAUCGGAAUCACUGGGCUUAAAGGGUGCGUAGGCGGGUUCGUAAGUGCUUUGUGAAAGCCCUCGGCUCAACCGAGGAACUGCACGGCAUACUGCGAAGCUCGAGGAAUCUAGAGGCCGGCAGAACGAUAGGUGGAGCGGUGGAAUGCGUAGAGAUCUAUCGGAAUGCCAAAGGUGAAGACAGCCGGCUGGGGAUUUCCUGACGCUGAGGCACGAAGGCGUGGGGAGCAAACAGG
RNAcentral lists this ribosomal RNA (253 nucleotides) under uncultured bacterium. Its description in RNAcentral is "partial 16S ribosomal RNA". It matches the Rfam family "Bacterial small subunit ribosomal RNA", at positions 524 to 776 of the family's 1533-position model. The record is from RNAcentral.